UGUUAAAAUUUUUACCCAUUUUUGUACUGUUAAAAAUUAGCGUAGUUGACGGAAUAACUAAACUGGUAUUUAAUGUGUAUCUCAUACUGACAUACAAAGACCAGUUUUUAACUAUAAAAAUAGAUUAAAUUUUGACA
This is a non-coding RNA of Gossypium arboreum, 137 nucleotides long. Lineage: Eukaryota; Viridiplantae; Streptophyta; Magnoliopsida; Malvales; Malvaceae. The record is from Rfam.